GAUGAACGCUGGCGGCGUGCCUAAUACAUGCAAGUCGAGCGAACAGACGAGGAGCUUGCUCCUCUGACGUUAGCGGCGGACGGGUGAGUAACACGUGGAUAACCUACCUAUAAGACUUGGAUAACUUCGGGAAACCGGAGCUAAUACCGGAUAAUAUAUUGAACCGCAUGGUUCAAUAGUGAAAGACGGUUUUGCUGUCACUUAUAGAUGGAUCCGCGCCGAAUUAGCUAGUUGGUAAGGUAACGGCUUACCAAGGCAACGAUGCGUAGCCGACAUGAGAGGGUGAUCGGCCACACUGGAACUGAGACACGGUCCAGACUACUACGGGAGGCAGCAGUAGGGAAUAUUCCGCAAUGGGCGAAAGCUUGACGGAGCAACGCCGCGUGAGUGAUGAAGGUCUUCGGAUCGUAAAACUCUGUUAUUAGGGAAGAACAAAUGUGUAAGUAACUAUGCACGUCUUGACGGUACCUAAUCAGAAAGCCACGGCUAACUACGUG
RNAcentral lists this ribosomal RNA (497 nucleotides) under uncultured bacterium. Its description in RNAcentral is "partial 16S ribosomal RNA". It matches the Rfam family "Bacterial small subunit ribosomal RNA", at positions 28 to 507 of the family's 1533-position model. The record is from RNAcentral.